CCUACGGGGGGCAGCAGUGGGGAAUAUUGGACAAUGGGCGAAAGCCUGAUCCAGCCAUGCCGCGUGUGUGAAGAAGGCCUUCGGGUUGUAAAGCACUUUCAGUGGGGAAGAAAGCCUUGGGGCUAAUACCCUCGAGGAAGGACAGCACCCACAGAAGAAGCACCGGCUAACUCCGUGCCAGCAGCCGCGGUAAUACGGAGGGUGCGAGCGUUAAUCGGAAUUACUGGGCGUAAAGCGCGCGUAGGCGGUCUGAUAAGCCGGUUGUGAAAGCCCCGGGCUCAACCUGGGAACGGCAUCCGGAACUGUCAGGCUAGAGUGCAGGAGAGGAAGGUAGAAUUCCCGGUGUAGCGGUGAAAUGCGUAGAGAUCGGGAGGAAUACCAGUGGCGAAGGCGGCCUUCUGGACUGACACUGACGCUGAGGUGCGAAAGCGUGGGUAGCAAACAGGAUUAGAUACCCCUGUAGUC
Molecule: ribosomal RNA, 465 nt
Filed under: Vreelandella stevensii
Lineage: Bacteria; Pseudomonadati; Pseudomonadota; Gammaproteobacteria; Oceanospirillales; Halomonadaceae
Description: partial 16S ribosomal RNA
Rfam family: Bacterial small subunit ribosomal RNA
Source: RNAcentral